UACGUAGGGGGCAAGCGUUAUCCGGUAUUACUGGGUGUAAAGGGUGAGUAGGCGGCAUGGUAAGCCAGAUGUGAAAGCCUUGGGCUUAACCCGAGGAUUGCAUUUGGAACUAUCAAGCUAGAGUACAGGAGAGGAAAGCGGAAUUCCUAGUGUAGCGGUGAAAUGCGUAGAUAUUAGGAAGAACACCAGUGGCGAAGGCGGCUUUCUGGACUGAAACUGACGCUGAGGCACGAAAGCGUGGGGAGCGAACAGG
This 253-nucleotide ribosomal RNA is filed under the name uncultured bacterium. RNAcentral describes it as "partial 16S ribosomal RNA". It matches the Rfam family "Bacterial small subunit ribosomal RNA", at positions 524 to 776 of the family's 1533-position model. The record is from RNAcentral.